RNAcentral lists this ribosomal RNA (429 nucleotides) under uncultured archaeon. RNAcentral's name for it is "bacterial SSU rRNA". It matches the Rfam family "Archaeal small subunit ribosomal RNA", at positions 474 to 903 of the family's 1478-position model. The record is from RNAcentral.
UACCUGCAGCUCAAGUGGUGACCAUUAUUAUUGGGCCUAAAACGUCCGUAGCCGGCUUAGUAAAUGCCUGGGUAAAUCGUGUAGCUUAACUAUACGAAUUCCGGGUAGACUGCUAAGCUUGAGACCGGGAGAAGCUAGAGGUACUCCUGGGGUAGAGGUGAAAUUCUGUAAUCCUAGGGGGACACCAGUGGCGAAGGCGUCUAGCUAGAACGGAUCUGACGGUGAGGGACGAAGCCCUGGGGCACAAACCGGAUUAGAUACCCGGGUAGUCCAGGGUGUAAACGCUGCUUGCUUGAUGUUAGUUGGGCUCCGAGCCCAACUAGUGUCGGAGAGAAGUUGUAAGCAAGCUGCCUGGGAAGUACGGUCGCAAGGCUAGAAACUUAAAGGGAAUUGGGCGGGGAGCACAGCAACGGGUGGAGCGUGCGGUUU